RNAcentral lists this ribosomal RNA (467 nucleotides) under uncultured bacterium. RNAcentral describes it as "partial 16S ribosomal RNA". It matches the Rfam family "Bacterial small subunit ribosomal RNA", at positions 28 to 506 of the family's 1533-position model. The record is from RNAcentral.
GACGAACGCUGGCGGCGUGCUUAACACAUGCAAGUCGAACGGAAAGGCCCUGCUUUUGUGGGGUGCUCGAGUGGCGAACGGGUGAGUAACACGUGAGUAACCUGCCCUUGACUUUGGGAUAACUUCAGGAAACUGGGGCUAAUACCGGAUAGGAGCUCCUGCUGCAUGGUGGGGGUUGGAAAGUUUCGGCGGUUGGGGAUGGACUCGCGGCUUAUCAGCUUGUUGGUGGGGUAGUGGCUUACCAAGGCUUUGACGGGUAGCCGGCCUGAGAGGGUGACCGGCCACAUUGGGACUGAGAUACGGCCCAGACCCAUACGGGAGGCAGCAGUGGGGAAUAUUGCACAAUGGGCGGAAGCCUGAUGCAGCAACGCCGCGUGCGGGAUGACGGCCUUCGGGUUGGAAACCGCUUUCGCCUGUGACGAAGCGUGAGUGACGGUAAUGGGGAAAGAAGCACCGGCUAACUACGU